GUUAAACAUUCAAUACUCAAA
This is a non-coding RNA of Caenorhabditis elegans, 21 nucleotides long. The record is from Ensembl. Lineage: Eukaryota; Metazoa; Nematoda; Chromadorea; Rhabditida; Rhabditidae.